AGUGGGGAAUAUUGGACAAUGGGGGCAACCCUGAUCCAGCCAUGCCGCGUGUGUGAAGAAGGCCUUCGGGUUGUAAAGCACUUUAAGCGGGGAGGAAGGCUCGACGGUUAAUACCUGUCGGGAUUGACGUUACCCGCAGAAUAAGCACCGGCAAACUUCGUGCCAGCAGCCGCGGUAAUACGAAGGGUGCGAGCGUUAAUCGGAAUUACUGGGCGUAAAGCGCGCGUAGGUGGUUUGGUAAGCGAUAUGUGAAAUCCCCGGGCUUAACCUGGGAACUGCAUGUCGAACUGCCAGGCUAGAGUAUGGUAGAGGGGUGUGGAAUUUCCUGUGUAGCGGUGAAAUGCGUAGAUAUAGGAAGGAACAUCAGUGGCGAAGGCGACACCCUGGACCGAUACUGACACUGAGGCGCGAAAGCGUGGGUAGCGAA
This 427-nucleotide ribosomal RNA is filed under the name uncultured Halomonas sp. RNAcentral's name for it is "bacterial SSU rRNA". It matches the Rfam family "Bacterial small subunit ribosomal RNA", at positions 353 to 772 of the family's 1533-position model. Lineage: Bacteria; Pseudomonadati; Pseudomonadota; Gammaproteobacteria; Oceanospirillales; Halomonadaceae. The record is from RNAcentral.